This 484-nucleotide ribosomal RNA is filed under the name uncultured bacterium. Its description in RNAcentral is "partial 16S ribosomal RNA". It matches the Rfam family "Bacterial small subunit ribosomal RNA", at positions 28 to 507 of the family's 1533-position model. The record is from RNAcentral.
AUUGAACGCUGGCGGCAUGCUUUACACAUGCAAGUCGGACGGCAGCGCGGGCUUCGGCCUGGCGGCGAGUGGCGAACGGGUGAGUAAUGCAUCGGAACGUGCCCAGUAGUGGGGGAUAGCCCAGCGAAAGCCGGAUUAAUACCGCAUACGACCUGAGGGUGAAAGCGGGGGACCGAAAGGCCUCGCGCUAUUGGAGCGGCCGAUGUCGGAUUAGCUAGUUGGUGGGGUAAAGGCUUACCAAGGCGACGAUCCGUAGCUGGUCUGAGAGGACGACCAGCCACACUGGGACUGAGACACGGCCCAGACUCCUACGGGAGGCAGCAGUGGGGAAUUUUGGACAAUGGGGGCAACCCUGAUCCAGCCAUGCCGCGUGCGGGAAGAAGGCCUUCGGGUUGUAAACCGCUUUUGUUCGGGAAGAAAUCCUCUGGGCUAAUACCCCGGGGGGAUGACGGUACCGGAAGAAUAAGCACCGGCUAACUACGUG